UUUCCGUAGGUAAGUUAAACCAUCCGUCCCGCAUCUUCUCGACCGAGCCGUCGCUCACAUCUUCCAGGUGAACCUGCGGAAGGAUCAUUAUCGUGUUCGGCUCCGGCCAUCACGCCCCCUGUGUACCUCUGGUUUCUUUGGCGCUCCGGCGUCAGACUUUUAAACCAUUCGUUGAACGAGACGGUCUGGGUCCCACGAAACGAUUAAAACUUUCAACAACGGAUCUCUUGGUUCCAGCAUCGAUGAAGAACGCAGC
RNAcentral lists this unclassified non-coding RNA (256 nucleotides) under uncultured fungus. RNAcentral's name for it is "sequence contains ITS1, 5.8S rRNA gene". The stretch from base 208 to 256 matches the Rfam family "5.8S ribosomal RNA", at positions 1 to 49 of the family's 154-position model. Lineage: Eukaryota; Fungi. The record is from RNAcentral.